UCUUUUGAGGGGUUUAUUCAUAAGAAACUAUGUUUUAUUUCUUAUAUAUAAAUAAAAAUAAUGGAGUAACAAUCUUUCUUAUGUUUUGGUUUAAUAAUAAAAAUAUUAAACCAAAACAUUUACUUAAUGUUUUUGCGAGACAUACAUGUCUCCAAUAAGCACGAUUCACCCUAUUUGACAUCAAGGACUGAUUCAUAGUACAUCAGCGUGAGAUACAAUGGUCAUUUUUUUCCAGGCACUGACUCGACUUACCGAGGCUUCAGAAUAAUUCUUAGGACAUCCCAGCGAUAUAUGUUGGUUAUUCUGCCUCUGGGUCCUUUUGACAGAAUCCUAGCACAUCUCUGCAAGAUACGUCGGUCAAAGACAAGUGAGCCGAAGUCUCGCAGAGACAUUAUCAGUCUGCAAGCCUUCUUUUUUCUACCAAACAUGUCCCAGCUGACUUCGGAGAGAUUCGAUCGCGUUGUCCAAGUCUCGAACAAACUCUAUCGUGUCAACCAAAUCUCAGACAGCUCCAGAAACGUCAUCCAGAUCUCAGAUGGCCUCAUCCGAGCUGAACCUUCACUACACCAAAUUUGGGUUUUAGUAACAAUAGGAUUCAUAACUAAAUUUUUUUUGGUAACUCAAAUGAUCCAUUAUAAAUCUAGUAACCCAUAUAAAGGGUUAGCAAAUUACGUAAUAGUUACCAUAAUUUGGAAUUAAUUCAUAAAAACUAAAUAACUAUUCAAAGUGUGAGAUCAUUAGUUAUACAUCCCUAACACAUUUUUUACUAAAUCACUAUUAUAAUUAUUCCUACCAAAAUUCAGAUUCUACUAAAAUGAAUCCCAUCUUUAUAACUCUUUGUCUUUUUUAUAAGUAACACACUUGCACAUUGCUAACACAAUGGUUUAUUUUGAAAUUUUGAAAAUGUAAAAAUAGAGUUUUAAGUUUUUAAAAAUCUUUUGUUUGGAACCAACUAACAGUGCUAGGACCUCUAGAACAACCUAAACCCAGAACUAAUCCACACCGUUGCCUGUCGGAACCAAACUUGAGUUCCCAACCAAACCAAAAAUCGGAUUUCAUUAUAAACAAAAGAAACACAGUUGAACGAAACACAACAAACCCCAAUCAAUAAAAACCCUUGACGAAUUUUCUUUUAUCAAACGAGUAAAAUCAAUCAAAUUCGAAUCCAACUCCAAUCAAUGAAAAACCCAUCGUCAUUCAAUCGAUUUCUCUUUGUUUUCUUCUUACUCAUCAAUUUCGGAGGAUUUGAAGACGGAUGAUAAAAAUGAUGGUGAUUUGUUUCUGGUGAAAUUUGUUCUAAAUCGUUGCUGGCAGGGACAUCUAGGUUUGAAUGAUGAUUAUGGUGGUAAUGGCAAUGAAACGAAAAUGAUGAUGGUAUGACUGUUGGGGUUUCAGGUAAACUCGAACUAGAACGCCAAACAUGUCUUUAAGUCCGGUACAUGACUUAUCAAAGGCAUGAUUCUGGAUUACCAGUGUGAGUACUAUUCACUAUUGUUUGUUUCACAUUGUUAUUAACUCGUCUUUGCUUUAACCUAAUUAAAACCAGCUAGUUGUGUAUGAACCUGUUAACCCUUAAGUUCUUAGUGGAACGAUGAAAUAGGUUGUUAAGAUGUAUGUCACAAGAUGUGCAUCAGUAAGGAGAUCCACCUUUGCCUCAUUUUUAUUCUAUGUUUUCAUAUUUGCUUUGUUUCCAAGGCCCUGCUUUGAUGAAUUCUGUAGUAAUAUGGGUUUUGCCUUACUUAUAAGCUGUAUAGUUCCAUCCAGCUCUUAUCUUAGAUGAGCUUCUGUAACAUUAAAGGUCAACACAAGUGUUCCGUAGCGACACAAUUCCAGAGAUCAAAGAAUAAACCAAUAAUAAUUUUGCUUAGAUUCUUUUGUCAUUUCUAUUCACUUUUGUAUGUCCAUUGUACUCUAGAAUGAACCAAUCAUAAUUUUGCCAAAAGCUUUUUUGCUCGUAUGAGCGGUGUUUUUCUGGUACAUGGAAUUGUAGUGUUAUUGUGUAGCCUAUUACUACUACGUGCACUAUGCUUAGCUGUUGAUCUUUUUUCAAUUGCUGGAUUUAUAUUUUCAAACUUUUAAAACAUAGCGUGAAAAACAAGCCAGGUUUUCAUUUCAAAAUAUUUGAGAAAUCUCUAAUCAAUGGGUUGUUAUUCCUUCACCUAAGCGACUAAUGAUACGGGUAGACGAUCUUGAGAAGCCUAGUCCUGGCAGCUUUCAAAACGUUCUAGUCGAUAAACCCCAUUUGGCUUGUUUGCUCGAGGUUUAUGGUGCCAAUAAGACGAGAAUAACCAUAAUAUGAUUUCUGAUGAGAAAAGUUUGGAGAACCAGAAUCAUUGAAAUGAAUUGGGGAAACUGUGGUUGAAUUGGAGAGUCUGGAGCAUUACAAGAGGAAGUGUUUUCAGUUGUCUGCGGAGCUUGAGAAGAAGAAAGUGGAGUGCACCACACUCCAAGGUAAAUUAUUAGGGGUGGUGGAGACUAGAAACACUUUCGAGGAUGCAGCUGAAUAUUGGAGGAAGAUGUAUCCCGAUUUGGAGAGCCGAGUUCUGAGGGUGGAAAAUGAUAAUUCAACAAUGACAUGUUUAUUUUCGAAUUUGGAGAGCUUACUCUCGAGUCAUGGAAAGGAAAGUUCAAUAUUAAGAUGCACAGAAUUGCGUAAUUCUGAAGAGACAGAGUCUGAAGCGUGGGGUUUGCAGUAUAAAGUUACUCAAAGUGGUGAAAAGCACAACAGGAGCAACCAUAAUGCUGAAACCAGCCGUGAAGGGAGGAAGGGUUCUCAUGUGUUUUGAGUUGAAAACCAAAGAGAAUGUGCAUGGCAUUGGCAUCAAUAAACAUCAUGAAUCGGAGUCUGAAUUUCACUAUUACUCUGCUGUGAACAUUUCUUCUGGAAGUCUACACUUAUCAAGUGGGGGUGAGAAGGUUGAAGAAGGGAAGGGUUGGGGAUGUUCGGAGGAGAGACCAUCUCAACAUGGAUCAUCAUCUUGAGAUCAUCUGAAAAUGAGUACAGAGCCUUUUGUGAACAUGGUCGCAGAUGAUGACAGUGUUGAAAUUCUUGGCGAAUCUGAAGACUCUGGUAAUUCUACUGAUUCAGAAGGUUCUCUUGGGACUCUUAUGGACAUGCUGGCGAUGAAAUAUAGAAAUAGGGACGAAGACAGAUAAAUAAAAUGGAAGUUUGAGAAUGAUAUGCUUUCUUCAUUUGAAGAGGAUCCUGAGCUGUGUUUGAAAGCUGUAUGUGCUCUCUAUCAACAGCAGAUAUGUGAAGACGAAAUAUCAGACAAGGGGUUGUUCCAUAAAAGUGAUGUGCUCAGACUUUGUAUAUCAACUAUUGAAGGAAUUGGGUUGCACCAGAAAAAUUAGUGGUCGAUUUCUCGUAAUUGUCAGAUAAAGGAUUUGCUAGCUUCCCAAGAUUUCAAAUCUGUAGUUGAUGGAAGCAACGGAGUUUCUUGCUCAUGGCUGCACCUGCACAGGGCAGGAUAGCCAUUCAGCAAAAUGGUCAUACUUACGUAGAAGAACAAUGAACAAAAUGGAACGAGAAGAAUCAACAGUAACAUAUUUUCUUGGUAUUUGGUUUUCAUACACUUUUAGCUUUAUUGAUAUUUUCACUUAACAGGUGUGCUACUUUGGCCAAGUUUCUAAUGGAUGAGCACUGCGAAGGUGACCUUAACAAGUCUGUCAAAGAGUUGGAGACAUUUGAUCCUAAAGCAGUUGAUGACUGCAAGAGGCUGGCUACAAGAUACUCGACGCAGUUAUUCAGUAUCUAUCAAAACAGAAAAGAUCCUUUUUUCCUUCCAUCUAUAACCGCCAGCCAUGGAGAUGAAACUGCUAAAUGAUUUAUUGUUGUAUAAAUGGCCUUCAAUAUUUGCGCUAGGCAUUGCAGUCUUACAUCUCCGUUUAAUCUUUUCUGAUUUUGUUGUGUAACUGGUUAAUACACCAAAUGGCAAAUUGGAUGUGCAUCGAAUCUCCAAUGUAGUAAGUGAUAUUUUUGUAGUUACACUAGAGGUUGUUUUGAUAGGUGCACAUGGAGAAAAAAACAGCCUUUGUUUAUCUCAUGGAACUGAAAUGAAAUGUGUAAAAUCUGAUUACUAAAUUUAAAGCUAGAUUACCCCUUUUAUUA
Molecule: long non-coding RNA, 4111 nt
Organism: Papaver somniferum (opium poppy)
Lineage: Eukaryota; Viridiplantae; Streptophyta; Magnoliopsida; Ranunculales; Papaveraceae
Exons: 3
Source: RefSeq, a predicted model, not a curated record